RNAcentral lists this small RNA (148 nucleotides) under Macaca fascicularis (crab-eating macaque). RNAcentral's name for it is "Metazoan signal recognition particle RNA (ENSMFAG00000056964.1)". It matches the Rfam family "Metazoan signal recognition particle RNA". Rfam says of the family: The signal recognition particle (SRP) is a universally conserved ribonucleoprotein. It is involved in the co-translational targeting of proteins to membranes. The eukaryotic SRP consists of a 300-nucleotide 7S RNA and six proteins: SRPs 72, 68, 54, 19, 14, and 9. Lineage: Eukaryota; Metazoa; Chordata; Mammalia; Primates; Cercopithecidae. The record is from Rfam by way of RNAcentral.
GCUGGGCAUGAUAGCUCAUGCCUGUAGUCCUAGCUACUCAGGAGGCUGAGGUGGAAGGAUUGCUUGAGCCCAGGGGGUUGAGGCUGCAGUGAGCCAUGAUCAUGCCACUGCACUUCUGCCUGGGCAAUACAGCGAGACCCUGUCUCAA